RNAcentral lists this transfer RNA (67 nucleotides) under Marmota monax (woodchuck). Its description in RNAcentral is "tRNA.Ala". It matches the Rfam family "tRNA", at positions 6 to 65 of the family's 71-position model. From Rfam's summary of the family: Transfer RNA (tRNA) molecules are approximately 80 nucleotides in length. Their secondary structure includes four short double-helical elements and three loops (D, anti-codon, and T loops). Further hydrogen bonds mediate the characteristic L-shaped molecular structure. tRNAs have two regions of fundamental functional importance: the anti-codon, which is responsible for specific mRNA codon recognition, and the 3' end, to which the tRNAs corresponding amino acid is attached (by aminoacyl-tRNA synthetases). tRNAs cope with the degeneracy of the genetic code in two manners: having more than one tRNA (with a specific anti-codon) for a particular amino acid; and 'wobble' base-pairing, i.e. permitting non-standard base-pairing at the 3rd anti-codon position. Lineage: Eukaryota; Metazoa; Chordata; Mammalia; Rodentia; Sciuridae. The record is from RNAcentral.
GGUUGUGGCUCAGUGGUAGAGUGCUUGCCUAGCAUGUAUGAGGCUCUGAGUUUGAUCCUCAGCACCG